Long non-coding RNA from Daphnia magna, 2700 nucleotides. RefSeq lists it as uncharacterized. The transcript has 2 exons. Lineage: Eukaryota; Metazoa; Arthropoda; Branchiopoda; Diplostraca; Daphniidae. The record is from RefSeq and is a predicted model, not a curated record.
GUGGGCGGACGGGUUGUUGUUGUUGUUCGUCACGGUGUCCAACAACAAGAAUGGAGGGUUGGUGAGGGUGGAGAGGGAGGGGAAAGAGAGAAGCUCUCAAACAAACAACCGAACAAAACUGCUGCCGCCGCCUGGGCGAACCGACCGACGACGCCAUGACCGACAGGCAAAAGGCAAACCAGCAGCAGCAGCCAUCACGUGAGAAAGAUGAAUCGAUAGAGUAAGUAAAAACGAGUGUGUACGUGCGUGUGUUGCAGUGGGACGAUGUCGCAUCAAGGGAACCAUUUUUAUUUUUUGGCGUCUGCACAGGUGGCGCCGCCGCUUAGACAAAAAAAUAUUCAAGACGCUUGUCAGUUGAUUUUUCUACGUCUUUUUCUUAAUGUGGGUGGUAUCCUUUUUGUCGAUUUUUUUUUUCGCUUUCUACCUCCAUGUAAUAUAUAACAAGCAAGACCUUGAAGAGCAAAAAGAAAAAAAGAUGCUGUUGGAUGAAUUCGAAUAUCCUUUUCGGAAUGACAAGACCAAGCCUCGGGCCUUCAGUUUUUUAUCUUUUUGUCUCGUUGUGUUCUGCAGUAGGUUUGGGUACACAGAAAGUUAACAGUAGUAGGUAAUAGUAGUAGCCUCCGAAAAGUCUGUGUACAACAACAGCCUCUACUGGAAACACAUUGUGUGUGUGUGUGUGUAUAUUUAAUUCUUUUUUUGGGUUUUGAAAUAAGAACGUACGUUUCCGACACCAUCAUCGCCGUCUUUGGAAUGUUGCCCGUCUCAGCACACACACACACACAAACAUUGGCCCUCCCCAAAUCAUCUCUGAUGGCGUCUGAAAAAAAGAAGAAAAAAAUACACAUUCCAUGACGUCAUAGAUCUUCUGCACCGUCAAGAAACAUUAGAUUUUCUAGUUGGUGAGGGGGAGAAUCUUUUUUUCCCCCCCUAAAAACAUUUUCUCCCCUCCAUUUUUUCUGUUGUUGGAUGACCCUUGAACUCGCCAUCUUGUUCCCCCUUCGAGAGGCAUCGAAUUACCUUUUAUUCUGUGUAUAGUCGAGGGGGUUCAUUCACACAUUCCAGGAUAUACUUCUCUUUUUUUUUUAAAGAGGGAGAGAAAGGAUCAACGGCCAUUUUUGACCCCAGGUAUAUACAAAAAAACUUUCUUCCCCCCCUCGUGUUCCAGAACACAAGAGAAGAUCAAUAUGGAAGAAGGGAGGGUUGGCAUGAUAAAAAGUCGUGGGGGUGGAAACCGGAGGUCAAGCUCAAAAGAAAGAAGAAAAAAAACGCACAUUUUUUUUCUUUUCUUUUCUAGGUAUCGAUGCAAUUAGAUACGAAUACAAAAGAUCGGCCGAUUGUUUUUCUCGCGAUGGCCCACAGGAACCGUUGCAAAUCGAGUGGCGCUAGCUACAUACCCUGGACACGUUUGGGGAUAUACCUGGUAUUUUAUCUCCUUGUUCAUGGUUUAGUUUUAUUUCUUGCUUUCUUUUUAUUUUAUUUCUUAAAUACGAGAAGAGGGGAAAAAAACUAGAUUGUUGUCUAUACAUGUGUGAAGGGGAACGGAGGCGACGAAUAGAUCGUAGAGAAAUAAGAGAGAGAGGGGGGGGGGGGACACAAAACGAAGAGACGGAAGAGGGGGGAUUUCGAAGAGGGUGGAUUUUUUUUUAGAAUCCUCCACCACACAACCAAAUGCUCUUUUAUAUUACAAUGUGAACUGUUCCUCCUUUUUAUCUGAUCAUCCGUAAAAACACCACCAUUUUGUUUUUUACUUAAAAAAAAAAUAUGGCGCCCUUUCGAUCGAUUUUUAUUGCUUUAAAUGUUUUAAUUAACAUUGAAGUCGAUUUGGCGAAAAUGAACUUUGUCCGCUUCGAAAUGAUUGAUAAAGUUCAUUAUUUCAAACUUGAUUUUUGUUCAACUGAAAAAUGGAAAAAAACCUGUAAAAUAAUAGUUAAGGUAAGAAAAAAAAAGUAGUAGAAGAGUAAUUGUUUCUGUCUAUUUUUCCAGUUCAAUUACAGCACGAGGAGGAGAAGGAUGAGAAUAUUUUUAGGGGAACGGGGGGGGACAGACACAAAUCCACUCGAGCGUUGACAAACACUUUGGUACUCCCCCCCCCCCUCCUGUUCCGACACAUGCGCGCGUAUCUAAGCCCCGAAUAUAAUGAAACCGGGCCCUUCCCCUCCCUCCCCCUCUAACGGACGGGAGUGUGUAAGACUAGAGGGGGGGGGGAACAACCGCAACUCGACCCCUCCUUCCUUCCGUAUAUCCCCAUAUCCAUUCGCACCCCAUACAUACACAUAGUACACAGUGCCAUACUACUGUUAUACUUCGUUACAGCUUAUGUAGUGCUGUCCUUCCCCUCUCCAUGGUAGUAUUCUAUUGUGCACACCCAACCCCUUUUCCGAGGGUUGAUUUGAUUAUCUGGUUCACUCUCUCUCUCCCCACUGUUCUGCUCCCGUCGAAUAAGAUACAUGUGGAUAGACUUGCUUUUUCAACCGACAUUUUCUUCCUUCAUCGGGAUGAAACAGAUAACGAAAGGAAAAAGCAUUGGGGAGUUCCCUCGCUAAUUGGUUUGAAGAGAUACUGAUAAGCAAACGCCAUCUAACGGAAACAAAUGAUACCACCAGCUUUUACGCAACAUUUGGUUUUCUUUUAUUUGUCGUUUCUUUUUUUCUUUUACUGCCAUCACGUGAACCAAAAUAAUAUAAUUAUAAUAAAAUUGAA